GCCUGGGUGGCUCAGUUGGUUGAGUGUCUGACUUCGGCUCAGUUCAUGAUCUCACAGUUUGUGGGUUCGAGCCCCGUGUCGGGCU
RNAcentral lists this transfer RNA (85 nucleotides) under Felis catus (domestic cat). It matches the Rfam family "tRNA". From Rfam's summary of the family: Transfer RNA (tRNA) molecules are approximately 80 nucleotides in length. Their secondary structure includes four short double-helical elements and three loops (D, anti-codon, and T loops). Further hydrogen bonds mediate the characteristic L-shaped molecular structure. tRNAs have two regions of fundamental functional importance: the anti-codon, which is responsible for specific mRNA codon recognition, and the 3' end, to which the tRNAs corresponding amino acid is attached (by aminoacyl-tRNA synthetases). tRNAs cope with the degeneracy of the genetic code in two manners: having more than one tRNA (with a specific anti-codon) for a particular amino acid; and 'wobble' base-pairing, i.e. permitting non-standard base-pairing at the 3rd anti-codon position. Lineage: Eukaryota; Metazoa; Chordata; Mammalia; Carnivora; Felidae. The record is from Rfam by way of RNAcentral.